This 460-nucleotide ribosomal RNA is filed under the name uncultured bacterium. RNAcentral's name for it is "partial 16S ribosomal RNA". It matches the Rfam family "Bacterial small subunit ribosomal RNA", at positions 338 to 795 of the family's 1533-position model. The record is from RNAcentral.
CCUACGGGGGGCAGCAGUGAGGAAUAUUGGUCAAUGGACGAGAGUCUGAACCAGCCAAGUAGCGUGAAGGAUGACUGCCCUAUGGGUUGUAAACUUCUUUUAUAUGGGAAUAAAAUGUUCCACGUGUGGGAUUUUGUAUGUACCAUAUGAAUAAGGAUCGACUAACUCCGUGCCAGCAGCCGCGGUAAUACGGAGGAUCCGAGCGUUAUCCGGAUUUAUUGGGUUUAAAGGGAGCGUAGGUGGAUUGUUAAGUCAGUUGUGAAAGUUUGUGGCUCAACCGUAAAAUUGCAGUUGAAACUGGCAGUCUUGAGUACAGUAGAGGUGGGCGGAAUUCGUGGUGUAGCGGUGAAAUGCUUAGAUAUCACGAAGAACUCCGAUUGCGAAGGCAGUUCACUGGACUGCAACUGACACUGAGGCUCGAAAGUGUGGGUAUCAAACAGGAUUAGAUACCCCUGUAGUC